This 104-nucleotide small nuclear RNA is filed under the name Theropithecus gelada (gelada). The record is from RNAcentral. Lineage: Eukaryota; Metazoa; Chordata; Mammalia; Primates; Cercopithecidae.
GUGCUUGCUUUGGCAGCAUAUAUACUAAGACUGGAACAAUACAGAGAUUAGCAUGGCCGCUUUGCAAGGGUGACACGCAAAUUUGUGAAAUGUUUCAUAUAUUG